Regulatory RNA element from Acinetobacter nectaris CIP 110549, 150 nucleotides. It matches the Rfam family "Ribosomal S15 leader". Rfam says of the family: The E. coli Ribosomal S15 gene 5' UTR can form two alternative structures. Lineage: Bacteria; Pseudomonadati; Pseudomonadota; Gammaproteobacteria; Moraxellales; Moraxellaceae. The record is from Rfam.
UAUGCUUGCUGUAGUGAUGCACGGCAGACAGUUUUAGUUACUAGAAUUGUUUUCUAUCAGUUUUUAAAUUUUUAAGCAUCUCGGAGAAAUCGAAUGGCUUUAACUACACAAGAUCGCGCAGAAAUCGUUGCUAAAUUUGCUCGUGCAGAA